UGGAACCACAUUAAUAAUGCA
Molecule: non-coding RNA, 21 nt
Filed under: Caenorhabditis elegans
Lineage: Eukaryota; Metazoa; Nematoda; Chromadorea; Rhabditida; Rhabditidae
Source: RNAcentral